AGUGAACGCUGGCGGUAGGCCUAACACAUGCAAGUCGAACGGCAGCACAGUAAGAGCUUGCUCUUACGGGUGGCGAGUGGCGGACGGGUGAGGAAUACAUCGGAAUCUACUUUUUCGUGGGGGAUAACGUAGGGAAACUUACGCUAAUACCGCAUACGACCUACGGGUGAAAGCAGGGGAUCUUCGGACCUUGCGCGAUUGAACGAGCCGAUGUCGGAUUAGCUAGUUGGCGGGGUAAAGGCCCACCAAGGCGACGAUCCGUAGCUGGUCUGAGAGGAUGAUCAGCCACACUGGAGCUGGGACACGGUCCAGACUCCUACGAGAGGCAGCAGUGGGGAAUAUUGGACAAUGGGCGCAAGCCUGAUCCAGCCAUACCGCGUGGGUGAAGAAGGCCUUCGGGUUGUAAAGCCCUUUUGUUGGGAAAGAAAAGCAGCAGGUUAAUACCCCGCUGUUCUGACGGUACCCAAAGAAUAAGCACCGGCUAACUUCGUG
RNAcentral lists this ribosomal RNA (492 nucleotides) under uncultured bacterium. RNAcentral describes it as "partial 16S ribosomal RNA". It matches the Rfam family "Bacterial small subunit ribosomal RNA", at positions 29 to 507 of the family's 1533-position model. The record is from RNAcentral.